GAAUUUAAUAUAAUUUUUAAAUUUAUUUAAGGAAAUAAAUUUUAUUUUAAUAUUUAUAUUUUUUAUUAGCAGGAUAAUUAAAUAAAAUGAACUUUAAUUUUAAGACAAUUUUAACAUUGAUUAAUGAAAUUUUUAUGGAGGAUUGAUUAUUAAAAUAAAAUUUAAAAAAAAAAAUUUUUUUUUUAUUGAUUAUUAAAAUAAAAAAAAAUUUUUUUUAUAAUAAUUAUAAAAAAAAUUAAUUACCUUAGGGAUAACAGCGUAAUAUUUUUAAAAAGAUCAUAUUAAUAAAAAUGAUUGC
This 298-nucleotide ribosomal RNA is filed under the name Nylanderia sp. SL13.04. RNAcentral's name for it is "partial large subunit ribosomal RNA". Lineage: Eukaryota; Metazoa; Arthropoda; Insecta; Hymenoptera; Formicidae. The record is from RNAcentral.